This 18-nucleotide non-coding RNA is filed under the name Arabidopsis thaliana (thale cress). The record is from RNAcentral. Lineage: Eukaryota; Viridiplantae; Streptophyta; Magnoliopsida; Brassicales; Brassicaceae.
CCGAUCGUUUAGCCGCUC